RNAcentral lists this unclassified non-coding RNA (331 nucleotides) under soil metagenome. Its description in RNAcentral is "partial contains 5.8S ribosomal RNA, internal transcribed spacer 2, and large subunit ribosomal RNA". The stretch from base 2 to 119 matches the Rfam family "5.8S ribosomal RNA", at positions 37 to 154 of the family's 154-position model. The record is from RNAcentral.
GUGAAGAACGCAGUGAAAUGCGAUAAGUAGUGUGAAUUGCAGAAUUCAGUGAAUCAUCGAAUCUUUGAACGCACAUUGCGCCCUUUGGUAUUCCUUAGGGCAUGCCUGUUCGAGCGUCAUUUAAACCUUCAAGCUAAGCUUGGUGUUGGGUGACUGUCCGCUUCACGGCGGACUCGCCUCAAAAUUAUUGGCGGCCGGUACAUUGGCUUCGAGCGCAGCAGAAACGCGAACUCGGGCCCGUCGUAUUGGCUCCCAGAAGCUAUCUUCACAAUUUUGACCUCGGAUCAGGUAGGGAUACCCGCUGAACUUAAGCAUAUCAAUAAGCGGAGGA